UUAACGUCAACCCAAAACUAUUUUGAACAGCAUGGCACCUCAUUCAUACAUGUUGCUUCAUCAAUAACAAUCGCAACCCGAAAUUGAGAUUUGAUAGGCCACUCACUGGAAGAAGGAUAUUCUUGUCAAAUACAUUAAUCACAGCAACGUGAUGUAUGCUCUUUUCGCUCAGAAUUCCGUGUACAAAAUCUUUUUAAGCAAUACGAUGUUUGAACUUUGUAACCCAUGGACUUGACUUACUAACGUUCAACAAGGGCGUACACCCCUGUUGUUUAUCUGGUGCACACGUGUGGCCACCAUAGACAUUGUAACCAUCAUCACGCGCUACACGGUAGAGUUUCAAGAGGAUGUCUGAAUGCUCCCACUUCUACUCUUGGGAUUACUACUGAUAUUGUGGCUAUUCUGGAUGAUUAAGGUCAAGCAGAUGCUGGAGAAAGGGGGGGAAAUAGUGACUGGCUGUGGAACCCCUGCAGCUGCAGCACAGGAGGAGAUGCAAGCGGCCGAUAGAUCCGCUGCGGCUGCACACACCCCUGCUCCACCCCCUACUAAACAAUCCACACCCAUGGGUCUUGCAGCAUCUACCUCAACAGAUAGCGGGGACAACCGUCCCCUAACCCACAUUGACCCCACUGUCGGUCCCAUGAUACCCAGGGCAGGGGAUUCCCAGGCUCCUCAGGCCUCUUCGGAGGAAAUGAAGCACACACAGCCGUCCCUUCCCUUCGUUGUCCCUCAGCCUCCCAGUAGAACGAUCAGGCCCAAACUCAUCUCAGGCCUAGAAGCUCAACAAGCGCGCCCCAAGUUCAUUCUGGGGGCAUCGGAGGACAAUUCUUCAGAUGAAGAUCUGCCUUUGAUCAUGGAACCCCCUACAGGUUUUGGUUCCUCUCAGGCAGUGGCCACCUCCUGCCUACGACAAACCGUAUCAGCAACCUCAACCACCUUCUCCCCCCCACAGCAAGUUACAUCAGUAACAUCAACCCCUACCUCCAAUGGCAUGAGGCCUAGCAUGUCUCACCCACAUCUGGUGAGGAAGGGUCGCGAGCACCGAAAAAUUGAGCUGCAAAGAGACUUCACCGUGGCCUCGCCGGCGGAGUUUGUCACCCGCUUCGGAGGAAACCGUGUGAUAGAUAAGGUGCUGAUAGCUAAUAAUGGCAUAGCGGCGGUCAAAUGUAUGCGUUCCAUCCGCCGUUGGUCCUACGAGAUGUUCCGGAAUGAGAAGACCAUCCGUUUUGUAGUGAUGGUCACCCCUGAGGACCUGAAAGCGAACGCAGAGUAUAUCAAAAUGGCGGACCACUAUGUACCCGUACCCGGCGGCGCCAACAACAACAACUAUGCCAACGUAGAGUUGAUAGUGGACAUCGCCAAGAGGAUCCCUGUACAGGCGGUCUGGGUUGGAUGGGGUCACGCCUCUGAGAACCCCAAACUGCCUGAGCUUUUGGACAAGAACGGAAUCUCCUUCUUAGGGCCAUCCAGUAAGGCCAUGUGGGCCCUGGGUGAUAAGGUGGCCUCCUCCAUCGUGGCCCAGAGCGCAGACAUCCCCACCCUGCCCUGGAGUGGAUCAGGUCUGAGAGUAGACUGGACAGUGGAGGACCAGAGGCUCGGCCACGUGAUCAGCGUGCCUCCAGAGGUCUAUGUGCACGGCUGCGUGCGUGAUGUUGGCGUUGGACUUGCGGGAGCAGACAAAAUUGGCUACCCGGUGGUGAUAAAAGCGUCAGAAGGAGGAGGGGGUAAGGGCAUCCGGAAGGUGGACAACGCUGAGGACUUUCCCAGCUUCUUUAGACAGGUGCAGUCGGAGGUGCCCGGCUCGCCCAUCUUCGUCAUGCAGUUGGCCCAGCAUGCCCGUCACCUGGAGGUUCAGAUCCUUGCCGACCAGUAUGGCAACGCCAUCUCCCUGUUUGGCCGAGACUGCUCCAUCCAGCGGAGACACCAGAAGAUCAUUGAGGAGGCCCCAGCCACCAUAGCAUCUUCCACCACCUUUGAGCACAUGGAGCAGUAUGCAGUGCGGAUGGCUAAGAUGGUGGGCUACGUGAGCGCAGGCACUGUGGAGUACCUCUUCUCUGAAGACGGGAGCUUCCACUUCUUAGAGCUCAACCCCCGUCUGCAGGUGGAACACCCCUGCACAGAGAUGAUUGGGGAUGUCAACCUGCCCGCCGCCCAGCUACAGAUAGCCAUGGGGAUCCCUCUCCACAGGAUCAAAGACAUCCGCAUGCUUUAUGGAGAGGCCCCCUGGGGGGACACCACCAUCAACUUUGAGGCCCCCGACUGUGUACCCAGUCCCCGGGGACACGUCAUCGCGGCCCGCAUCACCAGCGAGAACCCAGACGAGGGCUUCAAGCCCAGCUCGGGCACAGUGCAGGAGCUCAACUUCCGCAGCAGUAAGAACGUGUGGGGCUACUUCAGUGUCGGGGCUACCGGGGGGUUGCACGAGUUUGCUGACUCCCAGUUCGGCCACUGCUUCUCCUGGGGGGAGAACCGAGAGGAGGCCAUUUCGAACAUGGUGGUGGCCAUGAAGGAGCUGUGUAUCCGGGGGGACUUCAGGACCACGGUGGAGUACCUCAUCAAGCUGCUGGAGACAGAGAGCUUCAGGAACAACGACAUCGACACCGGCUGGUUGGAUAAUCUCAUCGCAGAUAAAGUUCAGGCGGAGAGGCCAGACACCAUGCUGGGCAUCGUCUGCGGGUCGUUACACGUAGCGGACACUAGUUUCAGGAAGAGCAUGUCCGACUUCCUGCACUCACUGGAAAGGGGCCAGGUGCUGCCUGCAGCCAGUUUGCUCAAUACUGUCGAGGUGGACCUGGUCUAUGAGGGGAUCAAAUACUGCCUCAAGGUGGCUCGCCAGUCCCCCACCACGUACGUUGUCAUCAUGAAUGGCUCGGACAUUGAGAUCGAUGUCCACCGGCUGAGUGACGGCGGCCUCUUGCUCUCCUACAACGGCAGCAGCUACACCACAUACAUGAAGGAGGAAGUGGCCAGCUACCGGAUCACUGUUGGCAACAAGACGUGUGUGUUUGAGAAGGAGAAAGACCCUACAGUGCUGAGGUCGUCCUCUGCUGGUAAGCUCCUGCUGUACCUGGUGGAGGACGGAGGCCAUAUCUGUGCAGGGAACUCGUAUGCAGAGAUCGAGGUCAUGAAGAUGGUGAUGAGAAUUACAGUGGUGGAGUCUGGCUGUGUCCACUAUGUGAAGAGGCAUGGGGCGGUGCUGGAGCCUGGCUGUGUGGUGGCACGCAUGGACCUGGACAACCCCAGCAGCAUCCAUCCAGUGGAGCUGAACACGGCCUCUCUCCCAGCCCAGCAGCUGCUGCCCAUCGUGGGGGAGAAGCUCCACCAGGUCUUCCACAUGGUCCUUGAGAACCUGGUCAAGGUCAUGGAUGGCUACUGCCUCACCGAGCCCUACUUCAGCAACAAGGUGAAGCUCUGGGUGGGCUCCCUGAUGAAGACCCUGCGGGACCCCUCGCUUCCCCUGCUGGAGCUGCAGGAGAUCAUGACCAGCGUGUCCAGCCGUAUCCCGCCCGGUGUGGAGAAGGCCAUCCGCAAAGUCAUGGCCCAGUACGCCAGCAACAUCACCUCGGUGCUCUGCCAGUUCCCCAGCCAAAGGAUUGCCUGUAUCCUGGACAGCCAUGUGGCCACCUUACAGAGGAAGGCUGACCGGGAAGUGUUCUUCAUGAACACUCAGAGUAUCGUCCAGCUGGUGCAGAGGUACCGCAGUGGAAUCCGAGGUUACAUGAAGUCUGUGGUGCUUGAUCUGCUCAACCGUUACCUUCAGGUUGAAAUGCAGUUCCAGCAAGCUCACUACGACAAGUGUGUGAUCAACCUGAGGGAGCAGUACAAGCCUGACAUGACCCCUGUGCUGGAGAGCAUCUUUUCUCACGCCCAAGUAUCCAAAAAGAACAUCCUGGUCACUAUGCUUAUUGAUCAGCUGUGUGGCCGGGACCCCACCGUAACAGACGAGCUGAUGGCCAUCCUGAACGAGCUCACACAGCUCAACAAGAUGGAGAACUCAAAGGUGGCUCUGCGUGCCAGACAGGUUUUGAUAGCUUCCCAUCUGCCCUCUUAUGAACUGAGGCACAACCAGGUGGAGUCCAUCUUUCUGUCUGCCAUUGACAUAUAUGGGCACCAGUUCUGCCCAGAGAACCUGAAGAAACUCAUCCUGUCUGAGACCACCAUCUUCGAUGUUUUGCCCAAUUUCUUCUACCAUUCUAACCGGGUGGUGUGCAUGGCUGCCUUGGAGGUAUACGUACGCAGGGGCUACAUUGCUUAUGAGCUGAACAGCCUCCAGCAUCGCCAGUUGCAGGACGGGACGUGUGCUGUAGACUUCCAGUUCAUGUUGCCGUCGUCCCACCCCAACAGAGGGAGCAGCCCUACUCUGAACAGGGUGGCGAUGCCGGUGAACAGCACAGGGCAGUUUGAGAUGAGGCGGCAGGGUAGCGAGCUCUUCCUAGAAGGGGCACUCUCUCCCCCCUGUCAGCGCAUGGGGGCCAUGGUGGCCUUCCAAUGUUUUGAAGACUUCAAAAGGAACUUUGACGAGGUCAUCUCCAGCUUUGCUGACCCGCUCCUGGAGAGCCCGUUGUUCUCCGAGGCCUGCCCCAGCCUCUACGAGGAGGACAACUGCAAGAACAUGAGGGAGAACCCCAUCCAUAUCAUCAAUGUGUCCAUCAAGUCGGCAGACACAGAGAAUGACGAUGCCUUGGUCACAGCCUUCGCUGCCUUCGCCCAGUCUAAGAAAAUUUUACUCUUUGAGCACGGCAUUCGAAGGAUCACGUUUUUAGUCGCACAGAGGAGGGAAUUUCCCAAGUUCUUCACUUUCAGAGCCAGAGACGGGUUCCAGGAGGACCGUAUCUACAGGAACCUGGAGCCUGCUCUGGCCUUCCAGCUGGAGCUGAACCGCAUGCGUAACUUUGACCUGACAGCCGUGGCCUGUGCCAACCACAAGAUGCACCUGUACCUGGGCGCCGCCCGUGUGCAGGAGGGUGCCGAGGUCACCGAUUACCGCUUCUUCAUCCGAGCCAUCAUCCGCCACUCUGACCUCAUCACAAAGGAAGCAUCCUUUGAGUACCUGCAGAAUGAGGGCGAGCGUCUUCUCCUGGAGGCCAUGGAUGAGCUGGAGGUAGCCUUCAGCAACAAUAAUGUGCGCACUGACUGCAACCACAUCUUCCUCAACUUUGUCCCCACUGUCAUCAUGGACCCCUCCAAGAUUGAGGAGUCAGUGCACUCCAUGGUGAUGCGUUACGGUAGUAGGCUGUGGAAGCUCCGGGUGCUCCAGGCCGAGUUGAAGAUCAACAUUCGGCUGACGCCCACCGGGACCGCCAUCCCCAUCCACCUGUUCCUCACCAACGAGUCAGGCUACAACCUGGAUAUCAGCCUAUAUAAGGAAGUCACAGACCCCUCAACAGGACAGAUCAUGUUCCAGUCAUACGAGGACAAGCAGGGCCCUCUGCACGGCAUGCUCAUCAACCAUCCCUAUGUCACCAAGGACCUGCUGCAGUAUAAGCGCUUCCAGGCUCAGACCCUGGGCACCACCUACGUCUACGACUUCCCUGAAAUGUUCCGACAGGCCCUCUUUAAGCUGUGGGGUCCGGGUGACAGUUACCCUAAAGAUGUGCUGAUGUGCACUGAGCUGGUGCUGGACCCGCAGGACCGACUGGUGCAGAUCAACCGCCUGCCUGGAGACAACCAGGUGGGAAUGGUAGCCUUCCGGAUGCGGAUGAAGACGCCUGAGUAUCCCGAGAGCCGCGACAUCAUCGUCAUCUGCAACGACAUCACCUAUAUGAUUGGCUCGUUCGGGCCCCAGGAAGACCUGCUGUUCCUGCGGGCAUCUGAGCUGGCCCGGGACGAGGGCAUUCCACGUAUCUACAUCUCAGCCAACAGCGGGGCGCGCAUUGGCCUGGCCGAGGAGAUACGACACAUGUUCCAGGUGGCCUGGAUCGACCCCCAGGACCCUUACAAGGGUUUCAAGUAUCUGUACCUGACGCCCCAGGACUACACCCGCAUCAGCUCCACCAACGCUGUCCACUGCCACCAUGUGGAGGAGGGAGGGGAGUCCAGGUACGUUAUCACUGAUAUCAUAGGGACCGAGGAGGGACUGGGGGUGGAGAACCUGAGGGGAUCAGGCACCAUCGCCGGGGAGACAUCCCAGGCCUACAAUGAGAUCAUCACCAUCAGCAUGGUGACGUGCCGUGCCAUUGGGAUCGGGGCCUAUCUGGUGCGUCUGGGGCAGAGGGUCAUCCAGGUGGAGAACUCCCACAUCAUCCUGACUGGGGCUGGAGCCCUCAACAAGGUCCUGGGCCGAGAGGUGUACACCUCCAACAACCAGCUGGGAGGCAUCCAGAUCAUGCACAACAAUGGCGUGACACACAGCACGGUGCCUGAUGACUUCGAGGGCGUUUUCACGAUCCUGCAGUGGCUCUCCUUUAUGCCAAAGAACAAGCACUCUCCGGUACCGGUGAUCCCACCCAAGGACCCAGUGGAGAGGGAGAUUGAGUUCACCCCCACCAAGGCUCCCUAUGACCCCCGCUGGCUACUGGCCGGGAGGCCCCACCCCACUGCGAAAGGAGCCUGGCAGAGUGGAUUCUGUGACCAUGGCUCCUUCAUGGAGGUGCUGGGAUCUUGGGCCCAGACAGUAGUGGUAGGCAGAGCCAGGUUAGGAGGGAUUCCUAUUGGUGUCAUCGCAGUGGAAACACGCACCGUUGAGGUGGCUAUCCCGGCCGAUCCAGCCAACUUGGACUCUGAGGCCAGAGUGAGUGGCUUAGUGUCCACAUUGUACACUGAGUGUACAGAACAUUAGGAACACCUGCUCUUUCCAUGACAUAGACCGACCAGGUGAAAGCUAUCAUUCCUUAUUGAUGUCACUUGUUAAAUCCACUUCAAUCAGUGUGUAGAUGAAGGGGAGAAGACAGGUUAAAGAAGGAUUUUUAAGCCUUGAGAUAAUUGAGACAUGGAUUGUGUGUGAAAUUCAGAGGGUGAAUGAGCAAGACAAAAGAUUUAAGUGUCUUUGAACGGGGUAUGGUAGUAGGUGCCAGGCGCACCGGUUUGAGUGUGUCAAGAACUGCACCGCUGCUGGGUUUUUAAUGCUCAACCGUUUCCAAUGUGUAUCAAGAAGGGUCCAGAAAGGACACCCUGCCAACACGACACAACUGUGGGAAGCAUUGGCGUCAAUAUGGGUCAGCAUCCCUGUGUAACGCUUUCUACACAUUGUAGUCCAUACCCAGAAUAAUUGAGGCUGUUCUGAGGGCAAAAGGGGGUGCAACUCAAUGUUAGGAAGGUGUUCAAGUUUUAAUGUCACAUGCACAAGUACAGUGAAAUGCCUUUCUUGCAAACUCAAAACCCAACAAUGGAAUAAACAAUAACAAUGUAUUACUAGAAAAAAACACGAGAAAUAAGAAUAGGAAAUAUGUUAUAUACAAUAAAGUAAGUAAGUAAGCACACUAUAUACAGGAAAUAUUUAAUAAAGUCAGUUCCAAUACCAUAUUUACAUGUGCAGGGAUACUGGAGUGAUGGAGGUAGAUAUGUAUAGAGGUAAGGUGACAGGGAUACUGGAGUGAUGGAGGUAGAUGUGUAUAGAGGUAAGGUGACAGGGAUACUGGAGUGAUGGAGGUAGAUGUGUAUAGAGGUAAGGUGACAGGGAUACUGGAGUGAUGGAGGUAGAUAUGUAUAGAGGUAAGGUGACAGGGAUACUGGAGUGAUGGAGGUAGAUAUGUAUAGAGGUAAGGUGACAGGGAUACUGGAGUGAUGGAGGUAGAUAUGUAUAGAGGUAAGGUGACAGGGAUACUGGAGUGAUGGAGGUAGAUGUGUAUAGAGGUAAGGUGACAGGGAUACUGGAGUGAUGGAGGUAGAUAUGUAUAGAGGUAAGGUGACAGGGAUACUGGAGUGAUGGAGGUAGAUAUGUAUAGAGGUAAGGUGACAGGGAUACUGGAGUGAUGGAGGUAGAUAUGUAUAGAGGUAAGGUGACAGGGAUACUGGAGUGAUGGAGGUAGAUAUGUAUAGAGGUAAGGUGACAGGGAUACUGGAGUGAUGGAGGUAGAUAUGUAUAGAGGUAAGGUGACAGGGAUACUGGAGUGAUGGAGGUAGAUAUGUAUAGAGGUAAGGUGACAGGGAUACUGGAGUGAUGGAGGUAGAUAUGUAUAGAGGUAAGGUGACAGGGAUACUGGAGUGAUGGAGGUAGAUGUGUAUAGAGGUAAGGUGACAGGGAUACUGGAGUGAUGGAGGUAGAUAUGUAUAGAGGUAAGGUGACAGGGAUACUGGAGUGAUGGAGGUAGAUAUGUAUAGAGGUAAGGUGACAGGGAUACUGGAGUGAUGGAGGUAGAUAUGUAUAGAGGUAAGGUGACAGGGAUACUGGAGUGAUGGAGGUAGAUAUGUUUAGGGGUAAGGUGACAGGGAUACUGGAGUGAUGGAGGUAGAUAUGUAUAGAGGUAAGGUGACAUGGAUACUGGAGUGAUGGAGGUAGAUAUGUAUAGAGGUAAGGUGACAGGGAUACUGGAGUGAUGGAGGUAGAUAUGUUUAGGGGUAAGGUGACAGGGAUACUGGAGUGAUGGAGGUAGAUAUGUAUAGAGGUAAGGUGACAGGGAUACUGGAGUGAUGGAGGUAGAUGUGUAUAGAGGUAAGGUGACAGGGAUACUGGAGUGAUGGAGGUAGAUAUGUAUAGAGGUACGGUGACAGGGAUACUGGAGUGAUGGAGGUAGAUAUGUAUAGAGGUAAGGUGACAGGGAUACUGGAGUGAUGGAGGUAGAUGUGUAUAGAGGUAAGGUGACAGGGAUACUGGAGUGAUGGAGGUAGAUAUGUUUAGAGGUAAGGUGACAGGGAUACUGGAGUGAUGGAGGUAGAUAUGUAUAGAGGUAAGGUGACAGGGAUUUUGGAGUGAUGGAGGUAGAUAUGUAUAGAGGUAAGGUGACAGGGAUACUGGAGUGAUGGAGGUAGAUAUGUAUAGAGGUAAGGUGACAGGGAUACUGGAGUGAUGGAGGUAGAUAUGUUUAGGGGUAAGGUGACAGGGAUACUGGAGUGAUGGAGGUAGAUAUGUAUAGAGGUAAGGUGACAGGGAUACUGGAGUGAUGGAGGUAGAUAUGUAUAGAGGUAAGGUGACAGGGAUACUGGAGUGAUGGAGGUAGAUAUGUUUAGAGGUAAGGUGACAGGGAUACUGGAGUGAUGGAGGUAGAUAUGUUUAGGGGUAAGGUGACAGGGAUACUGGAGUGAUGGAGGUAGAUAUGUAUAGAGGUAAGGUGACAGGGAUACUGGAGUGAUGGAGGUAGAUGUGUAUAGAGGUAAGGUGACAGGGAUACUGGAGUGAUGGAGGUAGAUAUGUAUAGAGGUAAGGUGACAGGGAUAUUGGAGUGAUGGAGGUAGAUAUGUAUAGAGGUAAGGUGACAGGGAUACUGGAGUGAUGGAGGUAGAUAUGUAUAGAGGUAAGGUGACAGGGAUACUGGAGUGAUGGAGGUAGAUAUGUAUAGAGGUAAGGUGACAGGGAUAUUGGAGUGAUGGAGGUAGAUAUGUAUAGAGGUAAGGUGACAGGGAUACUGGAGUGAUGGAGGUAGAUAUGUAUAGAGGUAAGGUGACAGGGAUAUUGGAGUGAUGGAGGUAGAUAUGUAUAGAGGUAAGGUGACAGGGAUACUGGAGUGAUGGAGGUAGAUAUGUAUAGAGGUAAGGUGACAGGGAUACUGGAGUGAUGGAGGUAGAUAUGUUUAGGGGUAAGGUGACAGGGAUACUGGAGUGAUGGAGGUAGAUAUGUUUAGGGGUAAGGUGACAGGGAUACUGGAGUGAUGGAGGUAGAUAUGUUUAGGGGUAAGGUGACAGGGAUACUGGAGUGAUGGAGGUAGAUAUGUUUAGGGGUAAGGUGACAGGGAUACUGGAGUGAUGGAGGUAGAUAUGUUUAGGGGUAAGGUGCCAGGGAUACUGGAGUGAUGGAGGUAGAUAUGUAUAGGUGUAAGGUGACUAGGCAAGAGGAUAGAAGAUAAACAGAGUAGCAGCAGCUUGUAUGUGAGUGGGUGUCCGAGUGUUUAGAGGCUCUGUGAGUGUGCACAGAGACAUAGCAAAGAUUGAGUUAAAGGAUCAAUAAAGCUACAUUUUUAUCAGUCAUAUUGCUUGGGGAUAGAAGCUGUUGAAGAGCCUGUUGGUGUCAGACGUGGUAGACCGGUACCGCUUUUCAUGCGGCAGCAGAGAAAAUUGUCUAUGGCUUGGGUGGUUGGAGGUCUAUAUAUAGAGGUCCUGGAUGGCAGGGAGCUCAGCCUCAGUGAUGUACUGUCCGCACAACCCUCUGUUUUGUACACCUAGUGUAUGUUGUGUCCUUUAAUGAUUACGUAAUGGACCUGCUUGUGUCAUAUGCCAAGGGGACCUGUUUGUAAGCCGUCAUUAAUAAAGUUUUGAUGCCUUCGAUCAUUUAGAAAAUAAAUACAUGAUCUGACAAGGUAACACAGACUGAAAUGCCAGCUACACCAGAGUGUAAUAUCCCUCUCUGUGCGUUCCUCUCAGCUGGUGCAACAGGCUGGCCAGGUGUGGUUCCCGGACUCAGCCUUUAAGACGGCCCAGGCCAUCCGUGACUUCAACCGCGAGCG
Oncorhynchus keta (chum salmon) is the source of this 10535-nucleotide RNA transcript. It is a transcript of the gene named acetyl-CoA carboxylase 2-like, with no coding region annotated. Lineage: Eukaryota; Metazoa; Chordata; Actinopteri; Salmoniformes; Salmonidae. The transcript is spliced from 50 exons. The record is from RefSeq and is a predicted model, not a curated record.